RNAcentral lists this ribosomal RNA (1895 nucleotides) under human gut metagenome. RNAcentral describes it as "bacterial LSU rRNA". It matches the Rfam family "Bacterial large subunit ribosomal RNA", at positions 3 to 1989 of the family's 2925-position model. The record is from RNAcentral.
UUAAGCUAAUAAGAGCGCAGGGAGGAUGCCUUGGCAUCAGGAGCCGAUGAAGGACGCGGUAAGCUGCGAAAAGCUCCGGGGAGUGGCAAGCACACUUUGAUCCGGAGAUGUCCGAAUGGAGCAAUCCACAUGAGUGAAGCUCAUGUAUCAUAUACUGAAUAAAUAGGUAUAUGAGGGGAACCGUCUGAACUGAAACAUCUAAGUAGGACGAGGAAAAGAAAUCAACCGAGAUUCCGCUAGUAGUGGCGAGCGAACGCGGAAGAGGCUAAACCAGAGUCAGCAAUGACUCUGGGGUUAGGACUGCAUUUAGUAUCAAUGAGAUCUAGUCGAAGUACAUGGGAAGGUACAUCGAAGAGGGUGAGAAUCCCGUAGACGAAAGAUCAAGUUGGCGAGCAGUAUCCAGAGUACCGCCGGACACGUGAAACCCGGUGGGAAUGCGGGGGGACCAUCCUCCAAGCCUAAAUACUACCUGAUGACCGAUAGCGCAUAGUACUGUGAAGGAAAGGUGAAAAGAACCCCGGGAGGGGAGUGAAAGAGAGCCUGAAACCCUGUGCUUACAAGCACACAGAGCACGUCAAAGUGUGAUGUGGUACCUAUUGUAGAAUGGUCCGGCGAGUUAUUUUAUGCAGCGAGGUUAAGGACUUAAGGUCUGUAGCCGAAGUGAAAGCGAGUGUUAAUAGCACGAAACAGUUGCAUGCAAUAGACCCGAAACCGGGUGACCUAUCCAUGUCCAGGCUGAAGUGAGGGUAAAACCUCAUGGAGGGCCGAACCGACUCCCGUUGAAAUGGUAGCGGAUGAGGUGUGGAUAGCGGAGAAAUUCCAAUCGAACCCGGAUAUAGCUGGUUCUCCCCGAAACCGUUUUAGGACGGGCCUCGUGUGAAGAUUAUCGGAGGUAAAGCACUGAAUAGCCUAGGGGGCGAGAGCCUACCGAAGCUUAUCAAACUCUGAAUGCCGAAUAAUCGUUUCACGGGAGUCAGACUGUGUGAGAUAAGUUUCAUAGUCAAAAGGGAAACAGCCCAGACCCACAGCUAAGGUCCCAAAGUGUAUUUAAGUGGAAAACGAUGUGAAGUUGCGUAGACAACCAGGAUGUUGGCUUAGAAGCAGCCACUCAUUAAAAGAGUGCGUAAUAGCUCACUGGUCGAGUGACUUUGCGCGGAAAAUUUAACGGGGCUAAAAUACACACCGAAGCUUGGGCUUGACGCAUUGCGUCAGGGGUAGGGGAGCGUCGUGUAAGGGGCGAAGUCGUAUCGUAAGGGACGGUGGACUUUACACGAGUGAGAAUGCCGGAAUGAGUAGCGAGAAUUAUGUGAGAAUCAUAAUGGUCGAAAGCCUAAGGUUUUUGGAGGAAGGUUCGUCCGCUCCAAGUAAGCCGGGAGCUAAGGUCAGGCGGAAACGCGUAGCCGAUGCACAUACGGUUGAAAUUCCGUAGCCUCAGAAAGAUUUAAGCAGAGGGACACUUUGAAAGGACUGUAGCCGGGUGUUGGUUACCCCGGUCGUAAGGGAACGAAAUUAAGUAGUGAAGGCAGUCUGGACGGAGGCGAGAAAAGCUCUGUGUAUAUCUGAUGAGCCCGUACCGCAAACCGACACAGGUAGGUGGGAUGAGAAUUCUAAGACCAACGGGAGAAGGGUAGUUAAGGAACUCGGCAAAUUGUCCCCGUAACUUCGGAAUAAGGGGAGCCUGCGAAAGCAGGCCGCAGAGAAUUGGCCCAGGCGACUGUUUAUCAAAAACACAGCUCUAUGCUAAAUCGAAAGAUGACGUAUAUGGGGUGACACCUGCCCGGUGCUGGAAGGUUAAGAGGAGAUGUGAGAGCAUCGAAUUGAAGCCCCAGUAAACGGCGGCCGUAACUAUAACGGUCCUAAGGUAGCGAAAUUCCUUGUCAGGUAAGUUCUGACCC